This 253-nucleotide ribosomal RNA is filed under the name uncultured bacterium. Its description in RNAcentral is "partial 16S ribosomal RNA". It matches the Rfam family "Bacterial small subunit ribosomal RNA", at positions 524 to 776 of the family's 1533-position model. The record is from RNAcentral.
UACAGAGGUGGCAAGCGUUGUUCGGAUUUACUGGGCGUAAAGGGUGCGUAGGCGGUCCGGUGUGUCGGGUGUGAAAGCCCACCGCUCAACGGUGGAACGGCGCUCGAAACUGUCGGACUUGAGUACGGGAGAGGAGAGUGGAAUUCGUGGUGUAGCGGUGAAAUGCGUAGAUAUCACGAAGAACACCGGUGGCGAAGGCGACUCUCUGGACCGAUACUGACGCUGAGGCACGAAAGCUGGGGGAGCAAACAGG